This 1669-nucleotide ribosomal RNA is filed under the name Liobagrus somjinensis. Its description in RNAcentral is "16S ribosomal RNA". It matches the Rfam family "Bacterial large subunit ribosomal RNA". The record is from RNAcentral. Lineage: Eukaryota; Metazoa; Chordata; Actinopteri; Siluriformes; Amblycipitidae.
GCUAAACAGCUAGCUUAACCAUUUAACUAACUAUUACAAUAUUAAAAACACUAACAAAACUACAACGCCACAAACCAAAACAUUUUACCGCCCCAGUAUGUGUGACAGAAAAGGCACAAAUUAAAGCCAUAGAAAUAGUACCGCAAGGGAACGCUGAAAGAGAAAUGAAAUAACUCAUUAAAGCACAACAAAGCAGAGACUAACCCUCGUACCUUUUGCAUCAUGAUUUAGCCAGCCCCUCCGAGCAAAACGCAUUUUAGUUCGAAGCCCCGAAACUAAGUGAGCUACCCCGAGACAGCCUAUUAAUUAGGGCCAACCCGUCUCUGUGGCAAAAGAGUGGGAAGAUCCCCGGGUAGAGGUGACAGACCUACCGAACUUAGUUAUAGCUGGUUGCCUAAGAAAUGAAUAAAAGUUCAGCUCCGCACUCCUUAACUCAAAAACUAUAAACUAUGAGUCAAAGAAAUAUGCGGGAGUUAUUUAUAAGGGGUACAGCCCUUAUAAAACAGGAUACAACCUCACCAGGAGGUUAAAGAUUAUAUUAAACAAGAUAAACUGCUUUAGUGGGCCUAAAAGCAGCCAUCUAAGUAGAAAGCGUUAAAGCUCCGGCAGAACAAGAAUCCAUUAUCCAAAUAUUGAAUCUAAAACCCCUAAUACUAUUAGGCCACUCCAUGCCCCCAUGGAAAAGAUACUGCUAAAAUGAGUAAUAAGAAGGAACCCCCUUCUCCAAAGCCUACGUGUAUGCUAGAUCGGACUCCCCACUAGCAAUUAUCUGAACCCAAAUUAAGAGGGAAAUGUAAUUAUAUUAAAGACCAAGAAAUACUUACACAUACUAAUCAUUAACCCUACACCGGAAGGCUAUCAAGGAAAGACCAAAAGAAAAGGAAGGAACUCGGCAAACACAAGCCUCGCCUGUUUACCAAAAACAUCGCCUCCUGCAAAAUCAAUGUAUAGGAGGUCUUGCCUGCCCAGUGACAAGUUAAACGGCCGCGGUAUUUUGACCGUGCGAAGGUAGCGCAAUCACUUGUCUUUUAAAUGAAGACCUGUAUGAAUGGUGGAACGAGGGCUUAACUGUCUCCCUUUUCAAGUCAAUGAAAUUGAUCUACCCGUGCAGAAGCGGGUAUAAAAAUACAAGACGAGAAGACCCUUUGGAGCUUAAGACAAAAGAUCACCUACGUCAAGAACCUAAAAAUAAGUUAAACUAAGUAAUAACUGAUCCUAGUCUUCGGUUGGGGCGACCACGGGAGAAAAUAAAGCUCCCACGAGGACUGGGAUAUUCCCUAAAACCAAGAGAAACAUCUCUAAGUAUCAGAACCUCUGACCAUUAAGACCCGGCAGCCUGCCGAUCAACGAACCAAGUUACCCUAGGGAUAACAGCGCAAUCCCCUUUCAGAGUCCAUAUCGACAAGGGGGUUUACGACCUCGAUGUUGGAUCAGGACAUCCUAAUGGUGCAGCCGCUAUUAAGGGUUCGUUUGUUCAACGAUUAAAGUCCUACGUGAUCUGAGUUCAGACCGGAGCAAUCCAGGUCAGUUUCUAUCUAUAACGCCACUAUUCCUAGUACGAAAGGACCGGAAAAAGGGGGCCCCUGCUACAAGCACGCCCCACCCCAACUUAAUGAAACCAACUAAAUUAAGUAAAAGGAGGGCAUAAACCCAAAAUCUAGAUAAGAUU